This 72-nucleotide transfer RNA is filed under the name Camelus ferus (Wild Bactrian camel). It matches the Rfam family "tRNA". From Rfam's summary of the family: Transfer RNA (tRNA) molecules are approximately 80 nucleotides in length. Their secondary structure includes four short double-helical elements and three loops (D, anti-codon, and T loops). The record is from Rfam by way of RNAcentral. Lineage: Eukaryota; Metazoa; Chordata; Mammalia; Artiodactyla; Camelidae.
GAGGGUAUAGCUCAAUGGUAGAGUGCAUGCUUAGCAUGCACAAGGGCCUGAGUUCAAUUCCCAGUACCUCCA